UCCUGCAUGUGUCACACUGACAGAAUCUCCUGCCACCAUGACUGCUCUGGUGCUGCUCUCUGUCUUCGUAGUCUUCAUUCAGGAUGCAAGUUGUCAGAUUUCUGUGAAUCAACCAUCAGCACCAAAGUCAGUUUCCCCAGGAGGGAGCGUCACCUUCACUUGUACUACUGGGAGUAGUGUGAGUGGCUACAUGGCCUGGUUUCAACAGAGACCUGGACAAACCCCUAAAGCCCUGAUCUAUAGUGCAAGCACUCGCUACACUGGCAUCCCAAGUCGCUUCAGUGGCAGCGGGUCAGGAACUUCAUACAGUAUGACUAUCAGUGAAGUCCAACCUGAAGAUGCCGGUCACUACUACUGUAUGCAUCAUGCUAGCUACCCUCUCACACAGUGAUUGAGACUCGUACAAAAACCUCACUGAGCUGCUGUCAAGUC
Non-coding RNA from Polypterus senegalus (gray bichir), 432 nucleotides. Lineage: Eukaryota; Metazoa; Chordata; Cladistia; Polypteriformes; Polypteridae. The record is from the annotation of a RefSeq genome assembly.